UGGAAGUCUCAAAAGUCGUAACAAGGUUUCCGUAGGUGAACCUGCGGAAGGAUCAUUA
RNAcentral lists this ribosomal RNA (58 nucleotides) under Sclerotinia sclerotiorum. Its description in RNAcentral is "partial 18S ribosomal RNA". It matches the Rfam family "Eukaryotic small subunit ribosomal RNA", at positions 1774 to 1831 of the family's 1831-position model. Lineage: Eukaryota; Fungi; Ascomycota; Leotiomycetes; Helotiales; Sclerotiniaceae. The record is from RNAcentral.